GAUGAACGCUAGCUACAGGCUUAACACAUGCAAGUCGAGGGGAAACGACAUCGAAAGCUUGCUUUUGAUGGGCGUCGACCGGCGCACGGGUGAGUAACGCGUAUCCAACCUGCCCAUCACUUGGGGAUAACCUUGCGAAAGCAAGACUAAUACCCAAUGAUAUCUCUAGAAGACAUCUGAAAGAGAUUAAAGAUUUAUCGGUGAUGGAUGGGGAUGCGUCUGAUUAGCUUGUUGGCGGGGUAACGGCCCACCAAGGCAACGAUCAGUAGGGGUUCUGAGAGGAAGGUCCCCCGCAUGGGAGCUGCGACCCGGACCACAAUCCUACGGGGGGCAGCGGUGAGGACUAUUGGGCAAUGGGCGAGAGCCUGAACCAGCCAAGUAGCGUGCAGGAAGACGGCCCUAUGGGUUGUAAACUGCUGUUAUAAGGGAAUAAAGUGAGAGUCGUGACUCUUUUUGUAUGUACCUUAUGAAUAAGGACCGGCUAAUUCCGUG
RNAcentral lists this ribosomal RNA (492 nucleotides) under uncultured bacterium. Its description in RNAcentral is "partial 16S ribosomal RNA". It matches the Rfam family "Bacterial small subunit ribosomal RNA", at positions 28 to 507 of the family's 1533-position model. The record is from RNAcentral.